AUACGGAGGGUGCAAGCGUUACUCGGAAUCACUGGGCGUAAAGCGCGCGCAGGCGGUUUGAUAAGUUGGAUGUGAAAUCCUAUGGCUCAACCAUAGAACUGCAUCCAAAACUGUCAAACUAGAGUCUGGGAGAGGAAGAUGGAAUUAGUUGUGUAGGGGUAAAAUCCGUAGAGAUAACUAGGAAUACCAAAAGCGAAGGCGAUCUUCUGGAACAGUACUGACGCUGAGGCGCGAAAGCGUGGGGAGCAAACAGGAUUAGAUACCCCGGUAGUCC
RNAcentral lists this ribosomal RNA (274 nucleotides) under uncultured bacterium. Its description in RNAcentral is "partial 16S ribosomal RNA". It matches the Rfam family "Bacterial small subunit ribosomal RNA", at positions 523 to 796 of the family's 1533-position model. The record is from RNAcentral.